RNAcentral lists this long non-coding RNA (1466 nucleotides) under Homo sapiens (human). RNAcentral's name for it is "HSALNT0386570". Lineage: Eukaryota; Metazoa; Chordata; Mammalia; Primates; Hominidae. The record is from RNAcentral.
GAGAUUUCUCUCCCUCACCAGUUGUGCCCCAGUGCAGACAUGAAAACUGCAGUUUCAGGAGGAGAGCCUGUGUGUGGACAGCUUCUUCUCUUCCUUCUCCCUCAGUGCUUUGACAUCUUUUUAUUUCAUUUACCGAGGUUCUGAGUCUCAUCAGCAUGGGAUUAUGAGAAGAAGCACAGGGAAGUUGUUGUGUGGCUGGUAGUCACGUAGCAGUGUGGCAUAGGUGGCGUGCUAUUUAGAACUGACUUUCUCCAAAGCAUUUGUUUGGUUCUUUAAAGAUCCGCCAGCCUACUCUUACCCACUCUUCUUUUGCCAAGAAGAAGGUAUCUCUGUUUUCAUUGGACAAGGACUUGUUCUUCAGUCGCCAGAUACCUAGAUUCUCUGCUGGGACCUGUUCAACCCUCCAGGUAGCCCUGUUUGGAAGCAGUCCAAUAAGAUGCCGUGCCGGAUCUCUUUUCCUCUUCUUGUGUGUGUGUGGUGGUGCAGAGGAGCAGUAUCGCUCUUCUAAAUCAUGCACACACAAGACCGCCAAGCAUUAAGAUUCUCCUGUGGAGCCAGGCUACAAUCCUUUAAAUGAAGACAGACAGCUAGGUGGCUGCAGCCCAGCGCUACACCUCACCCCUCCCUCAGUGUCAUGCAGAAAAAAUGUAUUCAGAACUCAGAAGUGAAGUUGUGCAAAUCCAUCAUUGACACUAGCUUCAAGGUUACCUCGGGGGAGCAGAAUGUACCCCUGCCAGAGAGCUGGAUAGAUGAUGAUGGGGACAGAAAUUCUGGGGGAGUUGUAAAUGGCAGCCACUGCCUCUAUAGGAAACCCAAAGGGAACACAGCAGAAGAGGAGGUGGUGGAGGAGCCACUGCCCUCUCGAAGGGUUCAAUGUCAUUCUGCAGACACAACCAAAUAACUUUUUCUUCCCUGCUGCUCCUCCAUUUGAAAUGACAGCCCCGAGCUCGCUUUUUCCUUGAUUGUGUAACUCUGAUUACAGACAAGGCCAAGGCAAUCCCAGGGCAUUACUACAAAGCUAAGGGGUCCCCAAAGAACUAAAGAGUCAGCUCCACAAAAAUCCCGAUUCCUAGCAUGAAACUGAAAUAUGAAACCAAACGGGCAUAGAAAAGGUAUGUGCAUUCGAAUCACAUAGCAGUGACUGGAGUCCUGAGCUGUGUCUGAAGACUGUGAGAUCACGUUUGGAGCUGCUGAUUGGUUUUCAGUGAUGGCCCUGUUGCACAGUGCCGUGAGACUUAGCUCCAUGGCCAAAGACGAUGGUAUCCCCUAGGAGCCCUGUGAGGUUGCUGCUGUUCUCUUAAGACACCAGGUAGCCAUCUGAUCCUCCCUGAGCAAACUAACUGGGCAGACAGGUUUAUUAAACCUCUGUUGGUCCGACUUACAUGAAACAAGAGAGUUAUUUUGUUGUUGUUGUUUUGUUUUGUUUUAAAUUAAACCUGUCUUUGGAGCCUCCUGCUCUUAGUUUA